Colius striatus (speckled mousebird) is the source of this 581-nucleotide long non-coding RNA. RefSeq lists it as uncharacterized. NCBI's taxonomy places the organism in Eukaryota, Metazoa, Chordata, Aves, Coliiformes, Coliidae. The record is from RefSeq and is a predicted model, not a curated record. The transcript has 5 exons.
UCGAACUGGAUGUUCUCGGGCAGUGAGCGGAUGUCGCGGCGCCGGGCCCGUCCGUAACUAUCCACCACAGCCGAGAUCGCUGUGUUAUAGAGCGUCUCGGGCACCCACUCCAGCUCCACGGCCGCCAUCUUGGGUGUGCGGAGCCGCCUUUCCCCCCUCCCCUCCCCUCAGCUGCCCGCUCCACCUCCCGCGCCUAACGCCCCGCGGCGCCCGCUGCCCUGGCCGGUGGAGGAGACGCGGCUACGGCUGGAGAGGUGUGUUGGCAGUUCCACAUAAGCAUUAUUUGGGAGCCUGACAUUUGAGGGAGUUUGCUAACAUACCUGAAGUACACGUCUCAUCCAGUGUUCCUCGUUGGCUGCCAUAUGGUUUUUUCCCCUUUUCCUUUGUCUUUUUUAUAAAGGGAAGCAUUUGAAGGACAUUUACAAAUACUGCCUGUGUCUGAAAGCAAAAUGGAAUAUAGUUCCAGAAAGCCUGGAUGAAAAAGACUUGAAUCUGUUUCAUAUGCUGCCAGUGCAAGACUUUUAUUAAAGUGGGAAGGAAGUGGACUGACAUGGAUAACAUACGAACCUACUAUAUCUCCU